UACGUAGGGUGCAAGCGUUGUCCGGAAUUAUUGGGCGUAAAGAGCUCGUAGGCGGUCUGUCGCGUCGGAUGUGAAAACCCAGGGCUCAACCCUGGGCCUGCAUUCGAUACGGGCAGACUAGAGUACGGCAGGGGAGACUGGAAUUCCUGGUGUAGCGGUGAAAUGCGCAGAUAUCAGGAGGAACACCGGUGGCGAAGGCGGGUCUCUGGGCCGUAACUGACGCUGAGGAGCGAAAGCGUGGGGAGCGAACAGG
RNAcentral lists this ribosomal RNA (253 nucleotides) under uncultured bacterium. Its description in RNAcentral is "partial 16S ribosomal RNA". It matches the Rfam family "Bacterial small subunit ribosomal RNA", at positions 524 to 776 of the family's 1533-position model. The record is from RNAcentral.